GGCCGGUGCUGUUCUUGGCUCUUGAGUCGGUUCAGCGCUUGGCCAUCCGUAUGGGAAGCCAGCUCGGCCUUCAGUGGUCGGCUGGUGGACCAUACACUUUACUUUGAAAAAAUUAGAGUGUUUCAGGCAGGCAAUUGCUUGGAUACUACAGCAUGGAAUAAUGGAAUAGGACUUUGACCUAUUUGUUGGUUUCUUCGAGGUCAAAGUA
Molecule: ribosomal RNA, 208 nt
Filed under: uncultured fungus
Lineage: Eukaryota; Fungi
Description: partial small subunit ribosomal RNA
Rfam family: Eukaryotic small subunit ribosomal RNA (bases 83-208)
Source: RNAcentral